This is a long non-coding RNA of Oxyura jamaicensis (ruddy duck), 1383 nucleotides long. RefSeq lists it as uncharacterized. The record is from RefSeq and is a predicted model, not a curated record. NCBI's taxonomy places the organism in Eukaryota, Metazoa, Chordata, Aves, Anseriformes, Anatidae. The transcript has 2 exons.
UGAGUUCAGUGCUUCUGUGUUUGCUCUAAUUGAUUUUUUGAAAAGUAAAAAAAAAAAAUAAAUUUCUUCCCUUAACAUUAUUUCUCUCUAAAAAUAAGUAUUAAAGUUGCUCUAAAAAUGCCCCAAACCUAUUAAAUAUGAGAUAACUGUAGACUGGGAACAAUUGUUUUGAUUGUAACUCCAGUAAUAGAAGUUUGCUGCUUGCUCUGCCCUGAAAAAGAACUUGUGACUGAAAAUUAUUCCUGCUUUUUUAGAUGUUAGCUGUUUUAAUAUUAGUUAAGUUUUAAUAUAAGCUGUUAAUUCUUGCAAAUUCUACUGUGCUUCUAUCUUUAGAUCACCAUAGCUAUAACAGCAUUAUUACUGUAAAGUAUAGUAGAGAAUUACUGUAAAAAUUACUGGAACAUAGUCUACCUUUACAAUUGGAUGGGGCUGCUAUUGACAUCAGCAUUAAAAGACCAAACUGAGAAGAUAACAUUUACUGACACAGAGGAACAUUUUGCCUUUUUUUCAUAGUGUGUUAUUAGUGAGGCAUGCCCUGUACAUGUUCCCCCAAGGAGUCCAAAAUUUCCUCAUGUUACUUCCAUUCCCAGCUUCUGCUUUCUGGAAGCCCCGCUGCAUUUAACCCAGGGACCCGUUAACAGUUCUUGAAGCAUAUUUUUGCAGCUGGAUGUGUUUCCUGUACCUUAGCAUACACUUACUAAUAUAUGGAACUAACAUCCACAUGAUGGUCAGAAAAUUUCCAGAAUGUUUUCCUGUAUUUUUGUUUUUCAAGAUGUUCAGUAGCUAUGCCUGACCCUUACAGGCAUGGCAGAGGAGCUCGUGAGAAAAUUUUGGCUGAACUUCUGGUGAUGUUCAUGAGGUAAAGGAGAAGUUGCUGUUGUACUGUUAACAGAAAGAGAGAGAGAGACUAAUUCUAGGACAAGGAAGGUUUCAAAAUCAAAGGAGCGUUGCAUGGUUGUGUGUGUAUAAUUAAAAAAAAAAAAAAAAAAGAAAGAAAGAAAGAAAGCAAAAGAAAAGGAAAAAAAAAAGUAGAACUUCAACAGUCUGCCCCUCCAGUGUAGGAGGAGUGAAGCAAAUGAAUAUGGCCUUGAGUACACUUUAAAAUUUUUCAAUGCUGUAUUUUGCCAACUUUAGUUUACUCUGUUGACUAUUCAGUCAGACCCUUUUUAAAUUAAAAAGAAAUACAUGGCUGAAUUAUUUAUUAAACAAAAGGUGCUUCUGUGCAUGCAGACUACCUGUAAACUUCUUUUGGCAUUGGAGUUUGCAGUAAUAGAAUUUGAGAAAGCGCAUUGCUAAUAAGCAGAGGAAUGGAACAACUGUUCUCCUAAAGUAAGUCUGUCUCUGAGGCAGCCAAUAAACUAAGUUGUGUCUGACUAGUCACAG